GCCAACUACCUUGUGGUGAAAUGGUUCAAGUGAUGUAAUUUUAUCCAAUGCCUAUGCAUUGAAAACCUUGCACUUGCCCUUCACGUGUUAAAAGAAAUUAGGGUAGGGUUUUAGUGUGUCUUUCUGUAUGAUCCUGUCACCCCGUUUUUAAUUUGAUGCGUUUUGCCGUAGCCCAGGGCAAGACGGGAGCAGCAACCAUGGCGGUCACUUUAACACAAACUAAAAUAGAAUUAUCUAAUUUCUGGUGUUGCGAAGAUAUGUGUGAAGCAGUCCUUAGAACUUCUGCAGGAUGCCAGACUGGUGAUUCUCGGAGCACGGCUGAACGCGGAUUUCGAACUCAUUGAGUUGGCGGAAGCGGACAGUUUUUUGUCCGGUUCCUCUGAGGAGGUCGUGGUUCUAUGCUAAUAAUGCCGAUAAGCGUUUCAAGCAGUGCUUAAUGAGCCUUAGGAAUGGCACACAGAAGGUUGUCUAUGAGCAUCAUCCUCGGCCUAAGCAACUUACAGUUUAGAAUGGUUUACACCUUGAGCUACAAAGCCUUAUUGAAGAACGGACAGAUGGAGAGCGCUCUGGUGGCCAGGUGUUUGUAAAACAAAUGGCAACUGCGCUGUUAAAGGCUCUCCAUAUUAACACUGUUCUGUAAUGAAGUUAUGGAUGUCUCAUAUGAUAUUUGAAAGAAAGUACGGUCUUGUAUUAUCUCUAUAUUUUUGUGUGAAGAUCGUUAAGAACAGUUGAAAUGAAAAUAUACGUAGUGCUUCACUAUCUUUGUUGCAGAAAGGCCUUGUAAAAAGGAACCGUGAAAUGCAUAUUUAGGAGGUGUUAAUUAUGCCGAGAGGCGUUCUUUUGCUGUGGUGGAAAGAUUCCGUGCAAACAAUAACCCUUCAGUAUGAAAUUGACCCUUCAAUAAUGAAUUUGAUGUCUGCAGUAAUGGUUAGAUCGAGGCUCGUGAAACCAACCCUCCAUCUUCCACUUGUGACUGUCAAUUAAAAAAACAUGCUUUGUCUUUUUGUAACACCUACCAUUGCUUUCAUAAGUCACUGAUUCUUUCCGGACUGCAUUGGAAUGUGGUGUAUUUCCCAUUCUACCUGUCCUCUAUGCAGGACUAAGGUCCAGCCAGGGCAGGGAUUUGCUGCUGCUGUGGAGAUUAGUGAGGAUGUGGGUUUUCAUUCGAUAGAGGGAGGAACUAGUUCUGAUGCUGUUGAAGUCUAUGCCUCUUGUAUUUGUGCAAAGUAUGUUGGUAAUGAAAGGAGUCGCUUUAUCAGCCCCACUGAUUUCUUGAAUCCUUAUCUCUUGCGUGCAUUGCUGGAGAAAGCUGAGGAAGAGUAUGCGUUUGACCACCAAAUAGGACUAAGCAUCCCCUGUGAUGAAGAUGUUUUCCAAAGUUUGACAUACCUGUUACAGAAAAAUGAUUCAUCACUUGAAAAUUCGGGUGUCGGCGAGCUCAUUCCUAGAAAGACAAUCCUCUCGGACGGUAAAUCUUGUAGAAGAUAAGAGGUGAAAUUUAAAAUCACCAGGCCAAAGAAACAUGUACUUUUUAUAUUAAUUGAGUUUAUGUUUUCCGAGACUGCUGAAGGCUGAAUCUGAUUGUAAUUUCCGUCUUAAUUAGCCUGACAAUGAUGGAAUGGAUUUUAAUUUAUCAAAUUAGCUGGGAUUCAUCUGUUUUGAAACCA
This is a long non-coding RNA of Cryptomeria japonica (Japanese cedar), 1667 nucleotides long. RefSeq lists it as uncharacterized. The record is from RefSeq and is a predicted model, not a curated record. The transcript has 2 exons. Lineage: Eukaryota; Viridiplantae; Streptophyta; Pinopsida; Cupressales; Cupressaceae.